AGAGUUUGAUCCUGGCUCAGGACGAACGCUGGCGGCGCGCUUAACACAUGCAAGUCGAGCGAGAACCAGUCCUUCGGGACUGGGGACAGCGGCGAACGGGUGAGUAACACGUGGGUAAUCUGCCCUCGGCACCGGAAUAGCCCGGGGAAACCCGGAUUAAUGCCGGAUGGCCUCUCUGCCCUUCGGGGCGGUGAGAAAAGGUAGCUUUGGCCUCCGGCCGAGGAUGAGCCCGCGGCCGAUUAGCUUGUUGGUGAGGUAACGGCUCACCAAGGCGACGAUCGGUAGCUGGUCUGAGAGGACGAUCAGCCACACUGGGACUGAGACACGGCCCAGACUCCUACGGGAGGCAGCAGUGGGGAAUCUUGCGCAAUGGGCGAAAGCCUGACGCAGCGACGCCGCGUGCGGGAAGAAGGCCUUCGGGUUGUAAACCGCUUUCAGGAGGGACGAAGCCACUCAGGUUAAUAGCCGAGAGGGUGACGGUACCUCCAGAAGAAGCCCCGGCUAACUACGUGCCAGCAGCCGCGGUA
This 527-nucleotide ribosomal RNA is filed under the name uncultured Actinomycetes bacterium. RNAcentral describes it as "bacterial SSU rRNA". It matches the Rfam family "Bacterial small subunit ribosomal RNA", at positions 8 to 522 of the family's 1533-position model. The record is from RNAcentral. Lineage: Bacteria; Bacillati; Actinomycetota; Actinomycetes.